AGACCCGAAACCCGGUGAUCUAGCCAUGGGCAGGUUGAAGGUUGGGUAACACUAACUGGAGGACCGAACCGACUAAUGUUGAAAAAUUAGCGGAUGACCUGUGGCUGGGGGUGAAAGGCCAAUCAAACCGGGAGAUAGCUGGUUCUCCCCGAAAGCUAUUUAGGUAGCGCCUCGUGAAUUCAUCUCCGGGGGUAGAGCACUGUUUCGGCUAGGGGGCCAUCCCGGCUUACCAACCCGAUGCAAACUGCGAAUACCGGAGAAUGUUAUCACGGGAGACACACGGCGGGUGCUAACGUCCGUCGUGAAGAGGGAAACAACCCAGACCGCCAGCUAAGGUCCCAAAGUCAUGGUUAAGUGGGAAACGAUGUGGGAAGGCCCAGACAGCCAGGAUGUUGGCUUAGAAGCAGCCAUCAUUUAAAGAAAGCGUAAUAGCUCACUGGUCGAGUCGGCCUGCGCGGAAGAUGUAACGGGGCUAAACCAUGCACCGAAGCUGCGGCAGCGAACGUAUCACCCAAGACAACUUUACGGAGUUGACGAUUGACGGAGCGAAGCGACGUCAAAGCGUUCAUUAAAGUCGAGUUGGCUUAGGGAUACGUUCGUUGGGUAGGGGAGCGUUCUGUAAGCCUGUGAAGGUGUGUCGUGAGGCAUGCUGGAGGUAUCAGAAGUGCGAAUGCUGACAUAAGUAACGAUAAAGCGGGUGAAAAGCCCGCUCGCCGGAAGACCAAGGGUUCCUGUCCAACGUUAAUCGGGGCAGGGUGAGUCGACCCCUAAGGCGAGGCCGAAAGGCGUAGUCGAUGGGAAACGGGUUAAUAUUCCCGUACUUGGUGUUACUGCGAAGGGGGGACGGAGAAGGCUAUGUUGGCCGGGCGACGGUUGUCCCGGUUUAAGCGUGUAGGUGUGUGUUCCAGGUAAAUCCGGUUCACUUUAACACUGAGGCGUGACGACGAGGCACUACGGUGCUGAAGCAACAAAUGCCCUGCUUCCAGGAAAAGCCUCUAAGCAUCAGGUAACAUCAAAUCGUACCCCAAACCGACACAGGUGGUCAGGUAGAGAAUACCAAGGCGCUUGAGAGAACUCGGGUGAAGGAACUAGGCAAAAUGGUGCCGUAACUUCGGGAGAAGGCACGCUGACACGUAGGUGAAGUGAUUUACUCAUGGAGCUGAAGUCAGUCGAAGAUACCAGCUGGCUGCAACUGUUUAUUAAAAACACAGCACUGUGCAAACACGAAAGUGGACGUAUACGGUGUGACGCCUGCCCGGUGCCGGAAGGUUAAUUGAUGGG
Molecule: ribosomal RNA, 1281 nt
Filed under: Salmonella enterica subsp. enterica serovar Typhimurium
Lineage: Bacteria; Pseudomonadati; Pseudomonadota; Gammaproteobacteria; Enterobacterales; Enterobacteriaceae
Description: partial 23S ribosomal RNA
Rfam family: Bacterial large subunit ribosomal RNA
Source: RNAcentral